AUUGAACGCUGGCGGCAGGCCUAACACAUGCAAGUCGAGCGGAUGAAGGGAGCUUGCUCCUGGAUUCAGCGGCGGACGGGUGAGUAAUGCCUAGGAAUCUGCCUGGUAGUGGGGGAUAACGUCCGGAAACGGGCGCUAAUACCGCAUACGUCCUGAGGGAGAAAGUGGGGGAUCUUCGGACCUCACGCUAUCAGAUGAGCCUAGGUCGGAUUAGCUAGUUGGUGGGGUAAAGGCCUACCAAGGCGACGAUCCGUAACUGGUCUGAGAGGAUGAUCAGUCAAACUGGAACUGAGACACGGUCCAGACUCCUACGGGAGGAAGCAGUGGGGAAUAUUGGACGAUGGGCGAAAGCGUGAUCCAGCCAUGCCGCGUGUGUGAAGAAGGUCUUCGGAUUGUAAAGCACUUUAAGUUGGGAGGAAGGGCAGUAAGUUAAUACCUUGCUGUUUUGACGUUACCAACAGAAUAAGCACCGGCUAACUUCGUG
This 484-nucleotide ribosomal RNA is filed under the name uncultured bacterium. RNAcentral describes it as "partial 16S ribosomal RNA". It matches the Rfam family "Bacterial small subunit ribosomal RNA", at positions 30 to 507 of the family's 1533-position model. The record is from RNAcentral.